Molecule: ribosomal RNA, 468 nt
Filed under: uncultured bacterium
Lineage: Bacteria
Description: partial 16S ribosomal RNA
Rfam family: Bacterial small subunit ribosomal RNA
Source: RNAcentral
GACGAACGCUGGCGGCGUGCUUAACACAUGCAAGUCGAACGGAAAGGCCCUGCUUUUGUGGGGUGCUCGAGUGGCGAACGGGUGAGUAACACGUGAGUAACCUGCCCUUGACUUUGGGAUAACUUCAGGAAACUGGGGAUAAUACCGGAUAGGAGCUCCUGCUGCAUGGUGGGGGUUGGAACGUUUCGGCGGUUGGGGAUGGACUCGCGGCUUAUCAGCUUGUUGGUGGGGUAGUGGCUUACCAAGGCUUUGACGGGUAGCCGGCCUGAGAGGGUGACCGGCCACAUUGGGACUGAGGUACGGCCCAGACUCCUACGUGAGGCAGCAGUGGGGAAUAUUGCACAAUGGGCGGAAGCCUGAUGCAGCAACGCCGCGUGCGGGAUGACGGCCUUCGGGUUGUAAACCGCUUUCGCCUGUGACGAAGCGUGAGUGACGGUAAUGGGUAAAGAAGCACCGGCUAACUACGUG